UUUAACAUCCAACAUUAUUACUAAUUUGCCUAAUAAUAAAACACUAUUAUAAUACAACAUUGGUCCCCAACCUCCAACUAAAUGCUUUUCAUUGAGAUAAUGAAAAAUAGAAUAAGAAUAUAAUAAAAAUAUAAUACCCAAGGGCUGCUUUCAAUUGCUAUUUAACUAUACUAAACAUCGGAUUCUAUCGUUUCUAAGGAUUCUACAAUGGUCUCCUAUAAGUUAGCAGUAUUAACAACCCCUGUAGAAGGUGGCCCUA
RNAcentral lists this long non-coding RNA (259 nucleotides) under Elaeis guineensis (African oil palm). RNAcentral's name for it is "long non-coding RNA (EGUI_LNC038793)". The record is from RNAcentral. Lineage: Eukaryota; Viridiplantae; Streptophyta; Magnoliopsida; Arecales; Arecaceae.